UUUUCAUUGCCAAUCUAAACAGGCCCUAACUCAUCAGUGGACAUUUUGCAAGAGGAGAAAGCCGAAAGCCUCUUUUGAGCUGGGACCUGUUUAGAUUGGGAACGAAAACG
RNAcentral lists this microRNA precursor (110 nucleotides) under Sorghum bicolor (sorghum). Its description in RNAcentral is "miR5382 stem-loop (sbi-MIR5382)". Lineage: Eukaryota; Viridiplantae; Streptophyta; Magnoliopsida; Poales; Poaceae. The record is from miRBase by way of RNAcentral.